GGUGAGAUGGCCGAGCGGUCUAAGGCGCCAGACUAAGGUAUACCAUCAUUGCUUGCUCAAUCUGGUCCGAAAGGGCGUGGGUUCGAAUCCCACUCUCAUCA
Molecule: non-coding RNA, 101 nt
Organism: Daedaleopsis nitida
Lineage: Eukaryota; Fungi; Basidiomycota; Agaricomycetes; Polyporales; Polyporaceae
Source: the annotation of a GenBank genome assembly